RNAcentral lists this ribosomal RNA (497 nucleotides) under uncultured bacterium. RNAcentral's name for it is "partial 16S ribosomal RNA". It matches the Rfam family "Bacterial small subunit ribosomal RNA", at positions 28 to 507 of the family's 1533-position model. The record is from RNAcentral.
GAUGAACGCUGGCGGCGUGCCUAAUACAUGCAAGUCGAGCGAACGGACGAGAAGCUUGCUUCUCUGAUGUUAGCGGCGGACGGGUGAGUAACACGUGGAUAACCUACCUAUAAGACUGGGAUAACUUCGGGAAACCGGAGCUAAUACCGGAUAAUAUUUUGAACCGCAUGGUUCAAAAGUGAAAGACGGUCUUGCUGUCACUUAUAGAUGGAUCCGCGCUGCAUUAGCUAGUUGGUAAGGUAACGGCUUACCAAGGCAACGAUGCAUAGCCGACCUGAGAGGGUGGUCGGCCACACUGGAACUGAGCCACGGUCCAUACUCCUACGGGAGGCAGCAGUAGGGAAUCUUCCGCAAUGGGCGAAAGCCUGACGGAGCAACGCCGCGUGAGUGAUGAAGGUCUUCGGAUCGUAAAACUCUGUUAUUAGGGAAGAACAUAUGUGUAAGUAACUGUGCACAUCGUGACGGUACCUAAUCAGAAAGCCACGGCUAACUACGUG